AAUACAUCUCUUUCUCCGGAUUUCCCACUCUGCACUGCAGGGCUAUGAAUGCGCAGAACACUAAAUAGUAUACCAGUUGUGCGCACAGUGCAUGUGCCUGCUGUCUGCAUUUGACAAACAGAGACCAGGUCUAUCAAAUUUACGCGACUAAUUCGAUGAGAAAUUAUUUUUUUUACAUCCACAAAAGCUUUAUCGUCUGUUUUGGGUUUUAAAAGUUCAUCGGUCAUGGUCAUGGCAACUCCGAGUCCCGAGUGUGUAGGACGAGAGUUUGUCAGACAGUACUACACGCUGCUGAAUGAAGCCCCUCUUCAUUUACACAGAUUUUACAGCAAUAAUUCUUCAUUCUUACACGGUGGAGUUGAUCAUGAAGAACCAGUUAUUGGCCAGGCAGUAAGUAGAGAUAGG
Molecule: long non-coding RNA, 405 nt
Organism: Saccoglossus kowalevskii
Lineage: Eukaryota; Metazoa; Hemichordata; Enteropneusta; Harrimaniidae
Source: RefSeq, a predicted model, not a curated record